Molecule: ribosomal RNA, 313 nt
Filed under: uncultured bacterium
Lineage: Bacteria
Description: bacterial SSU rRNA
Rfam family: Bacterial small subunit ribosomal RNA
Source: RNAcentral
GAAGCGACUGCUAAUACCGCAUAAGCCCACAGGUCGGCAUCGACCAGAGGGAAAAGGAGCAAUCCGCUUUGAGAUGGCCUCGCGUCCGAUUAGCUAGUUGGUGAGGUAACGGCCCACCAAGGCAACGAUCGGUAGCCGGACUGAGAGGUUGAACGGCCACAUUGGGACUGAGACACGGCCCAGACUCCUACGGGAGGCAGCAGUGGGGAAUAUUGCACAAUGGGGGAAACCCUGAUGCAGCGACGCCGCGUGGAGGAAGAAGGUCUUCGGAUUGUAAACUCCUGUUGUUGAGGAAGAUAAUGACGGUACUCAA